UGUUAAUAUUUUCAUCCAUUUGUACUGUUAAAAUCUGGCGUGGUUGAUGAAGUAACCAAACAGUGACAUGCAUGUGACGUGCCAUGUGCAUACAAGAUGAUGUAUAGGGACCAAUUUUUAAUAAUAGGAAAUUGAUGAAAUUUUCAACA
Molecule: non-coding RNA, 149 nt
Organism: Gossypium raimondii (Peruvian cotton)
Lineage: Eukaryota; Viridiplantae; Streptophyta; Magnoliopsida; Malvales; Malvaceae
Source: Rfam